Molecule: ribosomal RNA, 500 nt
Filed under: uncultured bacterium
Lineage: Bacteria
Description: partial 16S ribosomal RNA
Rfam family: Bacterial small subunit ribosomal RNA
Source: RNAcentral
AUUGAACGCUGGCGGCAUGCCUUACACAUGCAAGUCGAACGGUAACGGGUCCUUCGGGAUGCCGACGAGUGGCGAACGGGUGAGUAAUAUAUCGGAACGUGCCCAGUAGUGGGGGAUAACUGCUCGAAAGAGCAGCUAAUACCGCAUACGACCUGAGGGUGAAAGGGGGGGAUCGCAAGACCUCUCGCUAUUGGAGCGGCCGAUAUCAGAUUAGCUAAUUGGUGGGGUAAAGGCCUACCAAGGCAACGAUCUGUGGUUGGUCUGAGAGGACGACCAGCCACACUGGGACUGAGACACGGCCCAGACUCCUACGGGAGGCAGCAGUGGGGAAUUUUGGACAAUGGGCGCAAGCCUGAUCCAGCGAUGCCGCGUGCAGGAAGAAGGCCUUCGGGUUGUAAACUGCUUUUGUCAGGGAAGAAAUCUUCUGGGCUAAUACCCCGGGAGGAUGACGGUACCUGAAGAAUAAGCACCGGCUAACUACGUGCCAGCAGCCGCCGUAA